Molecule: ribosomal RNA, 376 nt
Filed under: uncultured organism
Description: partial 16S ribosomal RNA
Rfam family: Bacterial small subunit ribosomal RNA
Source: RNAcentral
GUAGGUGGCAAGCGUUGUCCGGAAUUAUUGGGCGUAAAGCGCGCGCAGGCGGUUCUUUAAGUCUGAUGUGAAAGCCCACGGCUCAACCGUGGAGGGUCAUUGGAAACUGGAGAACUUGAGUACAGAAGAGGAAAGCGGAAUUCCACGUGUAGCGGUGAAAUGCGUAGAGAUGUGGAGGAACACCAGUGGCGAAGGCGGCUUUCUGGUCUGCAACUGACGCUGAGGCGCGAAAGCGUGGGGGGAGCAAACAGGAUUAGAUACCCUGGUAGUCCACGCCGUAAACGAUGAGUGCUAAGUGUUAGGGGGUUUCCGCCCCCCCCUUAGUGCUGCAGCUAACGCAUUAAGCACUCCGCCUGGGAGUACGGCCGCAAGGCUG